AGAGUUUGAUCCUGGCUCAGGACGAACGCUGGCGGCGUGCUUAACACAUGCAAGUCGAGCGGUAAGGCCCUUUCGGGGGUACACGAGCGGCGAACGGGUGAGUAACACGUGGGUGACCUGCCCUCAGCUCUGGGAUAAGCCUGGGAAACUGGGUCUAAUACCGGAUAUGACCACAUGUCGCAUGGUGUGUGGUGGAAAGUUUUUUUCGGCUGGGGAUGGGCCCGCGGCCUAUCAGCUUGUUGGUGGGGUGAUGGCCUACCAAGGCGACGACGGGUAGCCGGCCUGAGAGGGCGACCGGCCACACUGGGGCUGAGACACGGCCCAGACUCCUACGGGAGGCAGCAGUGGGGAAUAUUGCGCAAUGGGCGAAAGCCUGACGCAGCGACGCCGCGUGGGGGAUGACGGCCUUCGGGUUGUAAACCUCUUUCGACCUUGACGAAGCCUUCGGGUGACGGUAGGGGUAGAAGAAGCACCGGCCAACUACGUG
RNAcentral lists this ribosomal RNA (487 nucleotides) under uncultured Pseudonocardia sp. RNAcentral's name for it is "bacterial SSU rRNA". It matches the Rfam family "Bacterial small subunit ribosomal RNA", at positions 8 to 507 of the family's 1533-position model. The record is from RNAcentral. Lineage: Bacteria; Bacillati; Actinomycetota; Actinomycetes; Pseudonocardiales; Pseudonocardiaceae.